The sequence is a regulatory RNA element, 173 nucleotides long. It matches the Rfam family "Lysine riboswitch aptamer". Rfam says of the family: Riboswitches are metabolite binding domains within certain messenger RNAs that serve as precision sensors for their corresponding targets. Allosteric rearrangement of mRNA structure is mediated by ligand binding, and this results in modulation of gene expression. The record is from Rfam.
ACAGCAGGUAGAGGUCGCACGAUUCAAGAGUAAUUAUCCUGAUGUCCCGGAAGACAUAUGAAGGAUAGUAAAAGGGGAAAGUGCCGAAGAGGAUUGUUUCCGGAGCAGUCUUACUGGGCGUAGGAUUAAUAGUUUUACGACUGUCAUCGAAUAGAUGGAGAGCUACUUAAAGG